GUGCCAGCCGCCGCGGUAAUACGAAAGGUGCGAGCGUUAAUCGGAAUUACUGGGCGUAAAGCGCGCGUAGGCGGUGUGUUAAGUCGGAUGUGAAAGCCCAGGGCUCAACCUUGGAAUUGCAUCCGAUACUGGCACGCUAGAGUGCAGUAGAGGGAGGUGGAAUUUCCGGUGUAGCGGUGAAAUGCGUAGAGAUCGGAAGGAACACCAGUGGCGAAGGCGGCCUCCUGGACUGACACUGACGCUGAGGUGCGAAAGCGUGGGGAGCAAACAGGAUUAGAUACCCCAG
Molecule: ribosomal RNA, 286 nt
Filed under: uncultured Alcanivorax sp.
Lineage: Bacteria; Pseudomonadati; Pseudomonadota; Gammaproteobacteria; Oceanospirillales; Alcanivoracaceae
Description: partial 16S ribosomal RNA
Rfam family: Bacterial small subunit ribosomal RNA
Source: RNAcentral